This 390-nucleotide ribosomal RNA is filed under the name Triticum aestivum (bread wheat). Its description in RNAcentral is "partial small subunit ribosomal RNA". The record is from RNAcentral. Lineage: Eukaryota; Viridiplantae; Streptophyta; Magnoliopsida; Poales; Poaceae.
AUGACACAAACCCCACAAGGCCACGCUCUAGGGUUGCGUCCACCAUGGGGGGUAGAACCAGCGGUGAGCGAGCAGCGUCGGGCUCCCAUUACUCUCCAUGCCGAACCUCUUCGUAUCGUUCGGUCCCUAUCCCCUCUAUGGCCCGGGCGGUGCCGAAGCUGGAGCGCAUGCUAUGCCGGCACACGGCCAACAUGGCUUGACGCGAUGGUGGCAGGGUGGUGUCCAGUGAGGUGGUUCUCUCGAGCCCCUCUGCGUCGGUGUGCCGCGGUGGGCUUGCCUCGGCGCCGAGGACCUCUGCUGCAUCAACCGGCUGACGUUCGGCUACAACCACGGUCUUCUCGGCCAGUGUGCCAAGGUGCUGCCCGGGCAGUCCCUCUUCAUCGAUCUUAA